Molecule: long non-coding RNA, 1182 nt
Filed under: Salvia miltiorrhiza (redroot sage)
Lineage: Eukaryota; Viridiplantae; Streptophyta; Magnoliopsida; Lamiales; Lamiaceae
Description: long non-coding RNA (SMIL_LNC010546)
Source: RNAcentral
CAAUUAAUUUGUCAUAAGUAAGAGAAAAUCUUAAAUUUAUAAAAUGGAGAAGAAAAUUUGGGAUAUUACACUUAUGUAAAUUGAAUCUGAUAAUGUGUUAAAAGACUUCAACUAAUGCAUGAUAUAGGCCAGAGGGGCAGGUUAUGUUUUCCAAUUCAGUGAUCAACAUGCUGAUAAACAACAGACAAAACUUAUAUAUACUCAACUCUUGCAGUUCCAUGCUGUCUUUAUAACCCACUCCAAAAGCAUUGUUUUUCUUUUCAAAAUAGCUCUUCUUGGACCUGCACAAGCACCAUUAUUUUGUUUGAGGGAGAUAUCUCAUUUUUUAAUUAGGCAUCACAAAUGUGACAUCAAAGGCUCUACCAUGCUGCGAAUCUCUUUUUCAGCUUUGUGCUAUUGUUCCUCCUUGUUGCUAUGCAAGACCAUUUGAGCAAGUUCAUUCUUAAGAACCAAUCUGAUUUAUUCACCAUCUUGCUUGUGUGUGGUUAAGGAUCCUGCUUUUGAGUGAUUCCACGAUUAAAUUAUACCACUAAACAUAAUCAUAAACAUGUAAGCAAAAUCAAAUGCAUGAAAACUGAAAAAAUAUGAGAAACAUGUCACCAUUGCACCAUUUUGUGGGUAAUUAAAUAAACUACGUACUAUCAUUAAGCAUAUUUAUUGUAGAAACAAACAUGAUCCGUACAAAAUUGACCAUCCCUUGCUUACAACAAUACCUUGGGUUUUGUUAUCACAAUUGUUGAACACAUUCGGGCAAUCACCAAAAAUUAUAGUUUUCUGCUGUGAAAAUGAUGAAAAUAAACAUUAGGAAGAUUCUAUUCAAUCUGCCGUCCAAACAAACAUAAUGGCUGAUGAAUUUUUUUUUAGAGAGAUUAAGAUAUAUAGAGAAGAUUAAAAGAUGUGAUAGUUACGUUGUUAAAAUUGGAUUUGUCAGUGGAUGAUAUAUUUAGAGACCAAAUAAAAAAAUUGAGAAACCUCAAAACCAUACCAAAAUUCAUAAGCUUCUGUAUAACCUCCAAACUUCACCUAUAAACACACAUCAAAACCCUUUUCAGAAAAAUUAAGAAAUUAUUUAAGAAUAUAAAGAGACCAAAAUAGAAAAAAAUAAAAUAAAUAAGAGAUGGAGAUGUUAGUUUCUGUAUUGAUUGACUGGGGAGGGAGUGGUGGCUUUUUCUGCCGGACAUC